Molecule: non-coding RNA, 75 nt
Organism: Danionella cerebrum
Lineage: Eukaryota; Metazoa; Chordata; Actinopteri; Cypriniformes; Danionidae
Source: the annotation of a GenBank genome assembly
GUUUUCCUGUGGCUCAGUCAGUAGAGCGUUAUGCUAGCAACACAAAGGUUGUUGGUUCAGACCCUAGGGAAAGCA